Molecule: ribosomal RNA, 443 nt
Filed under: uncultured bacterium
Lineage: Bacteria
Description: bacterial SSU rRNA
Rfam family: Bacterial small subunit ribosomal RNA
Source: RNAcentral
CCUACGGGUGGCAGCAGUAGGGAAUAUUGCACAAUGGAGGAAACUCUGAUGCAGCGACGCCGCGUGAGUGACGAAGGCCUUCGGGUUGUAAAGCUCUGUUCUUAGGGAAAAAGCAAGUGAUUGUACCUAAGGAGAAAGGACCGGCUAACUUCGUGCCAGCAGCCGCGGUAAGACGAGGGGUCCAAGCGUUGUUCGGAAUCAUUGGGCGUAAAGCGGGUGUAGGUGGCUUUGUAAGUCAGGAGUGAAAGCCCCGGGCUUAACUCGGGAAGUGCUUUUGAUACUGCAAAGCUUGAAUGUGGGAGAGGAUCGUGGAAUUCCAGGUGUAGUGGUGAAAUACGUAGAUAUCUGGAGGAACACCGGUGGCGAAGGCGGCGGUCUGGCCCAACAUUGACACUGAGACCCGAAAGCGUGGGGAUCAAACAGGAUUAGAUACCCGAGUAGUC